Molecule: long non-coding RNA, 210 nt
Filed under: Gossypium barbadense (sea-island cotton)
Lineage: Eukaryota; Viridiplantae; Streptophyta; Magnoliopsida; Malvales; Malvaceae
Description: long non-coding RNA (GBAR_LNC004560)
Source: RNAcentral
UGCUGGAAGCGAUAUGUGAAAAUGUUGGCAAAUUUGUUGUAGAGUCGCCUCGAUGCUGUCGAAUCGCUGAGUGCUGUAUUGCUCAAAGCGAUGAAGGUGGUCAGAAACUUCAGACAAUGAAGCAACCGCAUGAACUGGCCAGUGACUCAGUGGUGGCUAAGAAGGUGGUCCUCUUGAAAUACAGGGAUAUCGUUAGAAAUAUCAUCAGCG